Molecule: ribosomal RNA, 253 nt
Filed under: uncultured bacterium
Lineage: Bacteria
Description: partial 16S ribosomal RNA
Rfam family: Bacterial small subunit ribosomal RNA
Source: RNAcentral
UACGAAGGGGGCGAGCGUUGUUCGGAAUUACUGGGCGUAAAGGGCGCGUAGGCGGCCGAUCAAGUCAGAUGUGAAAGUCCUGGGCUUAACCUGGGGACUGCAUUUGAUACUGAUUGGCUUGAAUGCAGGAGAGGAUAGCGGAAUUCCCAGUGUAGAGGUGAAAUUCGUAGAUAUUGGGAAGAACACCGGUGGCGAAGGCGGCUAUCUGGACUGUGAUUGACGCUGAGGCACGAAAGCGUGGGGAGCAAACAGG